UAGAGUUUUGAUCCUGGCUCAGGAUGAACGCUGGCGGCGUGCCUAAUACAUGCAAGUCGAGCGAACGGAUAAGGAGCUUGCUCCUUUGAAGUUAGCGGCGGACGGGUGAGUAACACGUGGGUAACCUACCUAUAAGACUGGAAUAACUUCGGGAAACCGGAGCUAAUGCCGGAUAACAUUUGGAACCGCAUGGUUCUAAAGUAAAAGAUGGUUUUGCUAUCACUUAUAGAUGGACCCGCGCCGUAUUAGCUAGUUGGUAAGGUAACGGCUUACCAAGGCAACGAUACGUAGCCGACCUGAGAGGGUGAUCGGCCACACUGGAACUGAGACACGGUCCAGACUCCUACGGGAGGCAGCAGUAGGGAAUCUUCCGCAAUGGACGAAAGUCUGACGGAGCAACGCCGCGUGAGUGAUGAAGGUUUUCGGAUCGUAAAACUCUGUUAUUAGGGAAGAACAAAUGCGUAAGUAACUGUGCGCAUCUUGACGGUACCUAAUCAGAAAGCCACGGCUAA
This 512-nucleotide ribosomal RNA is filed under the name Staphylococcus equorum. Its description in RNAcentral is "bacterial SSU rRNA". It matches the Rfam family "Bacterial small subunit ribosomal RNA", at positions 1 to 500 of the family's 1533-position model. Lineage: Bacteria; Bacillati; Bacillota; Bacilli; Caryophanales; Staphylococcaceae. The record is from RNAcentral.